This 920-nucleotide long non-coding RNA is filed under the name Mus musculus (house mouse). Its description in RNAcentral is "retina and anterior neural fold homeobox, opposite strand 1". The record is from RNAcentral. Lineage: Eukaryota; Metazoa; Chordata; Mammalia; Rodentia; Muridae.
AUCCAUCUGAAGUUUUAACCGGCGGCUUACAAGGGAAGAGAGUUUUUCCGUUUUGAACAACGUUCCUGUCGGUCAAUCCAAGAGCUUACUUACCUGGACCCGAACCUCGGGUAGGUUAACCUUGCCGGCCAGCUCUUCGCGGCUGUACACGUCGGGGUAGUGGGACUUCUCGAAGGCGCGCUCCAGCUCGUGCAGUUGGUAAGUGGUGAACGUCGUGCGGUUGCGUCGAUGCUUCUUCUUGGGAGGUUCCUCCUCCGACAGCUUCGAGUCGCCUGCUGCUGGCCCAACCGAGAGUCCUGGGCUCGGACGUGCUUCUCCUUGCUCCUUGGGGUAGCAGGGCCUAGUAGCUGGGGGCAGCGAAGCUCCAAGCCGUCAGUGACACUCUUGGCGGAGGCGAAGCGACCUCUCUACGGCCCUAGGCGACCCGGUGCCGCCUGAGCUGGUCUAAGGAGGUCCGCGAUGGGGACCUAUGUGGGGUCACUAGAAUUUCUCUAACCUCAAGUCGGGCAAACCCCAAACCAACGACCUAAAGGUAAAGGAGGAGAAGCUCCGGUCUUGCAGAGCACCCCAGGGACUUUGCAGCCUUGCUGAGCACUCACCUUCGUACUCCGGGACGAAUCCCGGGGCUGCUGGUGGGGAAGACUCGGAGCCUCCGGCUGGCGCCUUGGGGCAGGCAGGCUGCGCGCCCAGCCUGGGAUCCCGCUCUUUCGAGCUCCUGGAGCUCCUCUCUGCAGGAAAGGUGUCUAGGAUGCCGUCUUCCUUGGUAAAGCCCAGGAUGGCUUCGAUGCUGUGCAAACGCGACGUGCUCCCGCCCGGGCUGCGGAGCAGGUGGCCAGCGAGCGAGAAGCUCCCGUCCGCCAUGGCUGGCGCGCAGCCCGGCAGGUGCAUGGAGAGGAGGGAGUGCACUUUGCAAACUGGAG